This 253-nucleotide ribosomal RNA is filed under the name uncultured bacterium. RNAcentral's name for it is "partial 16S ribosomal RNA". It matches the Rfam family "Bacterial small subunit ribosomal RNA", at positions 524 to 776 of the family's 1533-position model. The record is from RNAcentral.
UACGGAGGGUGCAAGCGUUGCUCGGAAUUAUUGGGCGUAAAGGGUAGGUAGGUGGUCUCAUUUGUCUGGGGUGAAAGCCUUGGGCUUAACUCAAGAAGUGCCCCAGAAACGGUGAGACUGGAGUCCUGGAGAGGGUCGUGGAAUUCCCGGUGUAGCGGUGAAAUGCGUAGAGAUCGGGAGGAACACCAGAGGCGAAAGCGGCGACCUGGACAGGUACUGACACUCAACUACGAAAGCGUGGGGAGCAAACAGG